RNAcentral lists this ribosomal RNA (1372 nucleotides) under uncultured bacterium. RNAcentral describes it as "bacterial SSU rRNA". It matches the Rfam family "Bacterial small subunit ribosomal RNA", at positions 28 to 1381 of the family's 1533-position model. The record is from RNAcentral.
GAUGAACGCUGGCGGCGUGCCUAAUACAUGCAAGUCGAGCGAACGGACGAGAAGCUUGCUUCUCUGAUGUUAGCGGCGGACGGGUGAGUAACACGUGGAUAACCUACCUAUAAGACUGGGAUAACUUCGGGAAACCGGAGCUAAUACCGGAUAAUAUUUUGAACCGCAUGGUUCAAAAGUGAAAGACGGUCUUGCUGUCACUUAUAGAUGGAUCCGCGCUGCAUUAGCUAGUUGGUAAGGUAACGGCUUACCAAGGCAACGAUGCAUAGCCGACCUGAGAGGGUGAUCGGCCACACUGGAACUGAGACACGGUCCAGACUCCUACGGGAGGCAGCAGUAGGGAAUCUUCCGCAAUGGGCGAAAGCCUGACGGAGCAACGCCGCGUGAGUGAUGAAGGUCUUCGGAUCGUAAAACUCUGUUAUUAGGGAAGAACAUAUGUGUAAGUAACUGUGCACAUCUUGACGGUACCUAAUCAGAAAGCCACGGCUAACUACGUGCCAGCAGCCGCGGUAAUACGUAGGUGGCAAGCGUUAUCCGGAAUUAUUGGGCGUAAAGCGCGCGUAGGCGGUUUUUUAAGUCUGAUGUGAAAGCCCACGGCUCAACCGUGGAGGGUCAUUGGAAACUGGAAAACUUGAGUGCAGAAGAGGAAAGUGGAAUUCCAUGUGUAGCGGUGAAAUGCGCAGAGAUAUGGAGGAACACCAGUGGCGAAGGCGACUUUCUGGUCUGUAACUGACGCUGAUGUGCGAAAGCGUGGGGAUCAAACAGGAUUAGAUACCCUGGUAGUCCACGCCGUAAACGAUGAGUGCUAAGUGUUAGGGGGUUUCCGCCCCUUAGUGCUGCAGCUAACGCAUUAAGCACUCCGCCUGGGGAGUACGACCGCAAGGUUGAAACUCAAAGGAAUUGACGGGGACCCGCACAAGCGGUGGAGCAUGUGGUUUAAUUCGAAGCAACGCGAAGAACCUUACCAAAUCUUGACAUCCUUUGACAACUCUAGAGAUAGAGCUUUCCCCUUCGGGGGACAAAGUGACAGGUGGUGCAUGGUUGUCGUCAGCUCGUGUCGUGAGAUGUUGGGUUAAGUCCCGCAACGAGCGCAACCCUUAAGCUUAGUUGCCAUCAUUAAGUUGGGCACUCUAAGUUGACUGCCGGUGACAAACCGGAGGAAGGUGGGGAUGACGUCAAAUCAUCAUGCCCCUUAUGAUUUGGGCUACACACGUGCUACAAUGGACAAUACAAAGGGCAGCGAAACCGCGAGGUCAAGCAAAUCCCAUAAAGUUGUUCUCAGUUCGGAUCGUAGUCUGCAACUCGACUACAUGAAGCUGGAAUCGCUAGUAAUCGUAGAUCAGCAUGCUACGGUGAAUACGUUCCCGGGUCU